RNAcentral lists this ribosomal RNA (810 nucleotides) under uncultured bacterium. Its description in RNAcentral is "bacterial SSU rRNA". It matches the Rfam family "Bacterial small subunit ribosomal RNA", at positions 8 to 796 of the family's 1533-position model. The record is from RNAcentral.
AGAGUUUGAUCAUGGCUCAGAACGAACGCUGGCGGCGUGGAUAAGACAUGCAAGUCGGACGGGACUUUUUCUUGUAGCAAUACGAGGGAAAGUUCAGUGGCGAUCGGGUGCGUAACACGUGGGCAAUCUGCCUUAAAGUGUGGAAUAGCUCGGCGAAAGCCGAAUUAAUACCGCAUGUGGCUACUGGAGACAUCUUCGGGACGCUAAAGGUGGCGCAAGCUACCGCUUUUUGAGGAGCCCGCGGCCUAUCAGCUUGUUGGUGAGGUAACGGCUCACCAAGGCGUUGACGGGUAGCUGGUCUGAGAGGACGACCAGCCACACUGGGACUGAGACACGGCCCAGACACCUACGGGUGGCAGCAGUCGAGAAUUUUUGACAAUGGGGGAAACCCUGAUCGAGCGACGCCGCGUGGAGGAUGAAGGUCUUCGGGUUGUAAACUCCUGUCAUUUGGGAACAAGGCGUAUUUAUUAACUGUAAGUACGUUGAUAGUACCAGAAGAGGAAGAGACGGCUAACUCUGUGCCAGCAGCCGCGGUAAUACAGAGGUCUCAAGCGUUGUUCGGAUUCAUUGGGCGUAAAGGGUGUGUAGGUGGCGCGCUAAGUCGGGUGUGAAAUUUCGGAGCUUAACUCCGAAACUGCAUUCGAUACUGGCGUGCUUGAGGACUGGAGAGGAGACUGGAAUUUACGGUGUAGCAGUGAAAUGCGUAGAUAUCGUAAGGAAGACCAGUGGCGAAGGCGGGUCUCUGGACAGUUCCUGACACUGAGACACGAAGGCCAGGGGAGCAAACGGGAUUAGAUACCCCAGUAGUCC